UUAAAUUGAAGAGUUUGAUCAUGGCUCAGAUUGAACGCUGGCGGCAGGCCUAACACAUGCAAGUCGAACGGUAACAGGAAGCAGCUUGCUGCUUUGCUGACGAGUGGCGGACGGGUGAGUAAUGUCUGG
This 129-nucleotide ribosomal RNA is filed under the name Escherichia coli. Its description in RNAcentral is "partial 16S ribosomal RNA". It matches the Rfam family "Bacterial small subunit ribosomal RNA", at positions 1 to 120 of the family's 1533-position model. Lineage: Bacteria; Pseudomonadati; Pseudomonadota; Gammaproteobacteria; Enterobacterales; Enterobacteriaceae. RNAcentral also lists the same sequence under 8 other names. The record is from RNAcentral.